RNAcentral lists this unclassified non-coding RNA (10443 nucleotides) under Haliotis rufescens (red abalone). RNAcentral describes it as "zinc finger protein 106-like, transcript variant X1". Lineage: Eukaryota; Metazoa; Mollusca; Gastropoda; Lepetellida; Haliotidae. The record is from RNAcentral.
GCCAUACAAACAUGGCGGCUUUCAUCCGAUCCUGGAAUCGACAGGGCGAUUCCUAAUGUUUUCUUGAUAGUGCAUGUUUACCUUUUGCACAUGUAUUGCUAAAGAAGACACCCAUCGUAAACGAUAAGGGGCAUCAUGUCUGAUGACGAGGCUAAGAAAACUGUGGCUAAAGACAAGAACAUGCACAAAUGUAAUUUGUGCACCCUGUCAUAUGCAUCUGAAAGAGAUUUGCGAGAACACUUUUGGUCUCUGAUGCAUCACACAAACAUAGAAUGCAAGAAAAAGAACAGUCAGCACAACUGCACUCUCUGUUUUACUACCUGUGGAAGUAUUGCGGAAUAUCGGAAACAUCUGAGUGGUGAGAAACAUAAGAAGGCUGCAGAAGAAAAUCGUAAUGCUGAGGAUGAAAAGGAGGCAGCAGAGGCAAGGGAAGCUCAACAUAAAAAAUCUGUGGCAAGGGUGCCAGAUAAGCACAGUAACAUGAAGGACAGGCAAACUUUGUCUGGUGAUGACGAUCAAGAACAGGAGGAACAGAGUGAAGGGUUCAGGAGAGACCCUAUUUUCUACAAGAGGAAGAAAAAAGCCCAGUCCGAAAAACAACAAAAAGACAUUAACCAGCAACAUUCAAGAUGGGAUCAGCCUGACCCUUACAAUGAUGGAGACUAUGAUAGAUAUGGCAACCCAUGGGACCAAGGCUACAACUACCGCUUCAACAAUAUGUGCCACAAUGACUAUUACCAAAAUGGCUAUCAUAGUGGAUAUGGCCAUCAAGAUUUUCAAAAUCGAUAUGGCAACGGCUAUGGUUGGUUUCCCCCAAGAGGCGGUUUUGUUGGCUUUAAUGGGCCCCCAAGAGGGGCGGUGCAAGGACCAAGAUAUGUGGACUUUGAUAGUCAUGAGAAUGUGAGAAUGGAUGAUGAUAUGGACAUGGAGGGGGAAAGUGGGGAGGAGGAAGGUGUGAGUGUGCAUAAUAAGGAGUUUCCUUCCUAUCAAGGCCAGUACUGGAACGAUUAUCAGCCUAAUGGGCAUCCACCUCCACCGUGGCAUGGUUCAUGGAAUAACAGUAGUCAGAGAGGCAGUGUUGGGGAAGUGGAGUUUGAACAGAACAAUGAAGAAAGGGCAGUUGGGACAAAGAGUAAGAAAAAGAAGAAAGGAAAGUGGAAGGGAAAGACAAAGACACAAGGGGAGAGACACAAAGGAAAGGUUAACCCUACAAAUGGUGAAAGUCCUAAUACUGCAAAUGCAAGGAAACGGUGUCGAAAGUCUGAUCCUGUGAAAACAGACCCCAAAACUUCUCGAUUGGGAGAUGUGAACAGCAUAUGUGCUGAGGCAAAGGCAGUGAUGGAUGGUUUCACAUUCCAGUUUGAUAAAGUGUUUAGUAGUGACCAUGAUGCAGAGACACUUUCUCACUCGGUGAGGUCAACAUCUUCCAACAAGUCCAAGUCUUCAGCAAAAAGCAGGAGUAGCAGUAGUAGCCCCUCGUUAAGACUGAAGAGCCUUAGUGCAAGGAAACUUCAGAAUAGUCGAGUCUCACCAAAGAGUAUUCGUGUGUCCCCUAAAGUAAAUCGGGACAGUAAGGUAGUUAGAAGUGAACUGCAAAGUGAUGACACAAAUGCAGAGUCUGGUGUUUUAGAAAAAGCUGAGAAGCUGUGUAAAGAACUUAGGGAAAAGAGGCAGAAAGCUAAAUCAGACAAAGAGAGGAUAAUGAAGUCCAAGAAAAAUGAAAUGAGGGAUGUGUUGAACAAGCAAAUCAAGACUUUAAGUGAUGCAAAUAAAUCUAGAAUCAAGGGUCAUUUGGCAUCUGUUGAGAAAGACUCUGCUGUGUCUUCUCUUCAGGAAAGUGGUAUUGCAUCGUUCUCAUCUUCGCAGACAUCUGCAGAUCUAACUGCCAGCAGAAGCUCACUUGCUUCCAGUUCACAGACUUUGGUUUCUCAAAGUGAAGAUCAAACCUCAACUCCUAGAAAUGAUAUUGAGAGGAUAAGGCACAGUAUUGAAAACAGUGUCAGAAGAUCUUUGUCAAGCCCAGCAAAACCAACGUCAUCUUCUAGUGAAUCUCCUGUUAACAGCUCAAAAAACAGGAAGCCAUUGAGCAAAGAUUCUUUGUUGAAGAUGGUGAACUCACCGAGGUCCAGAAAUGAGAGGCUGCAUUUAGCGAGAAUGUUGAGAACCCGUGCCAGAACACAGAACAAAUUAGCCCCUUCAAGAUUGAAUGUUCAGCUGAAUGGACUGUAUGACAACUAUGAAUUUGAUGAAGAGGACAUCCCUGCUAUAUCUCUGGAAGACCUGUCACCAGAAGUCAAGCUACAGAUUGCUCAGCUGAUUGAGGAUGAUGUAAAUAUAGACUUAAUUAACAGUGAGCCGGAUACUCCAAGUUCUCCUGGUAUUGAAGCCAAGGUUAACCUCAGCAAGCCGUCCAGCAUCAGCAGAUUAGAGGCUAUGGAAGCAGCAGCUGGUUAUGGAACGAUGGCAAACACGAUUCAAUCAGAUGCUGCAUUGUCCAUUGCCGAUCUGAAUAGCCCACCCCACAGACCUCUGCGUGAAAGUUCCACACACCAGGCUGUUCUGAAUGUUGAGUCACUGGAGACCAUGCAGUUCAGAGAGUCUUCCAUUACUGUGACAUCGAUUGAUGGCAUUCCUCAAUUGCAAGUGUCAGAGCCAACUGUCAGCUCCAACUUUAGUCCACUGACAUUAUCAAGCCCAGUUCCUACAAGUGUGCCCAGUGCUACUUCCUGUGGGGAUGGUGUUCCGAAACACAUGUCAUCGGCUGUUUCCAGUGCUGUGGAUCUGGGCAGAAGAGCUUUACAGAUGAGUGGCCUUGAGGACAGGCUGAGCCUCAGUCACAGUUGUACAUCUGUGGCUACACCAAGUCCACAGAGUUUGGUCCCAAGUGUGAACCCACCUCAAAGUCAGUAUCUGAUGAGUGCAGUGCUGGAGCUCUCCUUGAAGGAGGAAGAGAAACAGAAAGAUAUUGAUGAGCUGGAACGGAAGAUUGAUGUGAUGCGGCAGAUGCUCAGGAGGACUUUGGACCAUCUUGAGAACAGCGAGCAGCGUAGGAAGGAGCUCCUUAAUGAUAACAAGAAGAUCAGGGAGAGAAAACUGAAAGUGUUGAGAGAACUGAUGGGACAUCAAUCAUUAGAAUCUCCUCUGCACACCACUCAGCUUUCCUCUCCACUCCAUGCAGUCUCCGAGAACGUCAUGACUCCAACACGGAGCCACUUGUCAUCCGAAUCCAUGGACAUUGACUUUGUCACAGACUGUGUAUCAUCUACAAGUCAGGCUAAGCCAGACUCUAACGUCAGGAUCGAUCUUCCCCACCCAGAUUUCCUUUCUUCAAGACUCCCAGAUCAUCGAACAGAGGCCCCAUCCCCAGCAGACACAGCUACAAGGCCAGUAUCCAUGUCUACUGUUUCUGCUCCCUCCUCCUCAGUUACUAAGGAGGUUGACACUAACCUUGCACACUCCUCUCAAUCCCGGGACAAGCCCACUAGUUCUCUCUCACUAAGUUGUGUUUCAGUUAAGCAAGAGCAGAACAGCCCGCCACCUGAUAUAACCCCAUGUGUCACAUCCCCCAGUUUGACCGAGACCGGUGGUGGUGAGAGUGCUACAGUUGUUGAUAGUUUUGUGCCUAACUCAUCUGUUACAAAGUCCACCCAACCUGGAACAGUUUUGUUAAAUACCCAACCCUUGUUGGACAGUUUUGAGUCCAGUUCUGAUCCUACUGCUUCUGAAGCUCAUUUGAUCUCCUCAUUUACUUCUGGGAAAGCUGGAACAAAUGUGGAUUUUUCUUCUCUGACUGAUGUAGCGGCGGUCAUCAGACCUACAGUGGAUUCUUCUCACACAAUCAUAAAUAUGACAAAUUGUUAUCACACAUCUACUCCUUGUGCAGAAACUCAAACUGAUACAGAUCGUUUGGCCUCCUUUUCAACCUGGUCUCCACUGGCAGACCGUCUGACCUCAGUAUCAGGGUCUUCCCUCAGGAGAACACAUUCCGUGGAUGCAGUGACAAGUGUCAGUGGUAAAAACACUGCCACUGGAUCAACUCCAAACACACCAAAUUUAUGUGACUCAUCUAAUUCAACUAUCAGGCACAUUUUGGCAAGUCCCCCAGUAGCUGACGUCUGCUCUAAAUCUCCCUUUGAUAAAGAUGCUAAGGACUCAACAAGUUCAGGAUUUGUGUCUGUGGCAUCAGCCCAAAGAAGGAUCUCAGAAUCUGAAAUGUCACCCAGUAAGGAGUCAAUGUCUUUGAUGAGUGUUACCUCUGGCAGAACAAGAACAGUGUCUGAAUCCAGUGAUGGUGAUGCGGGUAAACGGUCACAGUCGGUUCCAAUGACCUAUCUUGGUAGUAUUAGUGGAGGUGUCGAAACAGCUGCAGUUUUAAAAAAGCUUGCAGCAGACUUGGGUAACCUGGGCAGUUUGAACAACAUGUCUUGUGUUAUGCUUGACAGACAAGAUAUUUCUGAUAAAUUUCAAUCUGUAUCAUCGCGAACAAGAAGGAACUCUGAAAAUAGUCAAAAGUCAUCAAACCAAGUUGCAACAGAUUUCCAUUUGAUGGAACUGGACCUGAAAGGUGAUAACAGUGGGAAGGACUCGACUCCUAGAGACGAGUCUGACCAGAAUGGGAGCAUCGUCAGCAACAGCUCCCUGGGGGAGAAGAUCAGGCGGUAUUGUCAGACAGUCAACAGAAGGACGUCCCUGGAAACUAUUGAAGGAGAAGCAUCAGAUGGGGAUCGGACUUUGAGGGAAGAAGACUUUGCAAGACCUGAGAGUCCGGGAUCUGACAACACACCAGGAAGAAUACUUAAACAGUGCUCAGUUGUUUUGCAGAAAUUGGAGCUAGAGAGACAGGCAGCCAAUGGAUUGAAUGAGAAUGAUGAAGUGCAGGAGAUGGCUGAUCAUGAUGUUCUGGUUCAGGAGGUUCAGCAGCAGGAGGUGAUGGUGCAGGACAAGGAACAGCCGCAGGCAGCUCCAAUUGAUGAGGCUACAAAAGUAGAUACAAAUGGGCCACCAUCUCCAGGGAGGAAAAAGAGAAAAACUAAGAAAGAGAGAGAUAUUUUGGCCAACAGAAGGAAAUACUGGUUUGAUUCCAGUUCUGAUAAUAACUCUCAGGAAGAAGAAACUGUGCCCAAGCUGUCAACUCUUAAACAACAGCUUGUAUUUAGUCAGAAAGAUAAUAAUAACUCCGAUCUAGAACAAGGCUCUUUGGAUAACAAUAUUGCUGAUAUCAAGAGGGAGAUUGAACAAUUUGAAGAUCAAGUUCAAGCAGAAGUUCCUCAGAACAAGGUGGAUGUGAUGGGGAAUCCUAAUGAUGACCCACUCUCACUGAGGAUGCAGGCUGAGGAUGCAGGUAAAGCGCCCAAAUCACCAUCACAUGCAGCUAAAGCUGGUUGCCCAUCAAGUGUGGCCUACGCUGGCCCUUCUGACCCUGUCACCUGUCUGCAGGUCUUCAACAACCAUCUGUAUGUGUGCUACCAGGGAAAAGAUAUUCACAGAUAUCACCUUGUGACAGGCGAGAUGGACAUGCAGUACAACUGCAGCUAUCACUCCGUACAGUGCAUGGCUGUGGUCGCCGUACCAGGAAAGGAGGACUGUAUCUAUGCUGGUGGGCUUUCGUUCCAUGUGCUGCUCUUCAAUGUAAAGACUCCCCACAUUGUCCAGACAUUUGAGUUGUCUGAGGAGAUCAAAUGUAUGCACUACGAUGCAGGGACACUGUAUGUGGGACUGAUGUCAGGUUCUGUGGAGGUGUUCGAGGUCAAGAACCAACGCCACAAAGACUCAUUCCAGUGUGCCUACCAGGCUAUACACUGUAUCUCCUCGGCCCGAGAGGGAGGCAGUAAACUCAUCUGCGUGUCUGCCCAGGACACCACAAUCUCCGUGUGUGAUGCUCGCAGCGGGCUGCCUGUCAGAAUACUCGGGGGACACAAAAAGACCUCCUUCUCUGUUAUGUCAUCUGAUCACUUUGUGUUCAGUGGGUCUGGAGACAGGACAGUCAUGAUGCAUAACCUACAUACUGGCAAGCUGGAGUGGACAUUCAAAGAACAUGGUGGCAUUGUGACGAGUGUGUGGGUUGAAGGAAACACCCUCUACUCAGCUGGUUAUGACAGAUUGGUCAGGUGCUUUGACAUUAAGAGCCACACUUUGAGAAAAAUGUACUAUGGAGCUGGCAAGGGUGUGAUAAUGAGUAUUGCUGUACAUGGUGAUGAGCUGUUCACAGGCAGCCGUGAGGGCCAUGUUGAGUGCAUUCAGAUGAAGGCAGAAAGUUGGCCCUGCAAGAUUGACAGCUGCCAGUAUGUGUUUGGUGUGAGGGAGCACCUGCUGCAUCACCUCCUCACAGACCAUGUUCUGCCCAACAACAAGCUGGCGCGCUGCAUGUGGAAGGACUGCACUGAUUGGCUCACACAGCAGAGAGAUGAUAGGUCAGUGGAAUCUCACAUGAGGAAACAUUUGGACAGUCUCAAUGGAAUCACAGUCUGAGUGUGAUGAAGAUGAAUGUGAUCUAACAUCAGUCUUUCAACAUGGAGAAUGUUUUGUCUUUGGCCAUGAAACUGUGGGUAGAGUAGCUGAAGAUGAAUUGAUAUCAGUGAUAUGAACAUGCAUGUUGUGAUGUACUCAUUCAGGAAGAAAAGGUACCGUCAACAUCCAAGGGAAGUUCUGCCGAAAUUCUGAGUUACUGACUGUGAAGGCCAUCUUCUGUACAGAUAUCUUAAGUGAAGUCCUAAAUGUCGGGGGAUAUCAAAUUGAAAUGUGGGUACAUUGUUUAAAUACAGGACUAUAUUGUGUGGGGUAAUAUUGGAGUUUACAGUUAGCUUGUUUAAAGUUACAGGAGCUUGACUAUUUUGUAUCUGCUCCAGUUACAUUAGAAAUUUCUUGAUGUUAUGCAUUUGUGAUUUGCAUAAUUGAAUGAAGCUCAAAUGAACAAAACUGUCCUACAAGUAUGAUUUCAUUUUCUUUUGAUGGGUACCAGUAAUACAAAGCUGUGUGCUACCUGGGUGUGAGAGAUUCUACAAUACUGAUACGGAUGUGUGAAAAAAUACCCUUGUGCAAAAAAUGCCUGAGAAGGAAUAAUUUGUUAUACUUUGGGAUUGUUACUUCACUGUGUUUGCUUUUGAAAUAAAGGUAAUCAUUUUCCUAUCCUAGGUCAGAGCACCAUGCACCUGCUUUUGGUUAAUCAGUUAAUUAUUUCACCAUGUCACAAUCUGUACACUAACAGUAUUCAAAAUCAAGUCAAAAUCAGGUCAAGAUAUCCUUGUUAUAUAUAGCUUAAAUGUUGAAAGAUUUAGAGGGUGUUUGGAUUCAAUUAUGUAAAGACAGCCCUUCCAGUUAAACCAGCAGAGAGCAACCAAGCUCUUAGUUAUGUACACACUUCUUUAAUAGUUCUGGUGAAAAAGUGGCGGGUUUUAAUCAAAACAAUGCACACUAAAUGAGGUCUGUGUCUUGUUUGUAAUUGUGUGGCUGUUACAUAUACAUAUUCCAGAGUUGGUUGCUCUCUGCUGGUUUGCAUUGGUAGGCCUGAAAGAGCAAACCUAAAUGACCCAAAGACACCUCCCUUAUUUCAAAAACUGCAGGACCUCCUAACACACAAUGCUUGUUAUUAGUUGAGUGAGGUCUCAUGCAGAAGGACUGAGUUAAUUUGUCCUUAGUUGUGGUUGCUAAAGAUUCUGUAUUCUGUCACUCUCAAAGUACAAUAACACAACUCCAGUACCACUGAAAGACUCAAUACUUCAGGGCUUUCAGUCUUGUGAAAUUAUUGUGCAGGACAUUGACUGAUGAAAGUUGAAUUCCAUUUAUGACUUUUAACAUUCAACUGUACAGUGAACCAUUGAACUUACAGCCCGUGUCUAAAAGCUCCUGUGAUAUCGAAUAUUGAAGAUCCAUUUUGAAUUGCUUUGACCAAGAUGUCUCUUGUGAUUAAAAGUACAGAUUUGAAGAAAAUGUGUACUUUCAUUGUAUAGAUACUUCACCUCAGUAUUGCAUGAAACAUGUCAAUAAAUGUGGGCCUGAUGUAACUCCUGAAAGAUGAAGCGUUGUGAUGUCUUCUGAUGAACUUACAAAUAUAAGUCAUCAACCAUAGACAAGACUUGUGCUAGAAUACUGUCUGGGAGCAAAUGAAUGUUUAGCUCACCUUACUGAAAGUCAAGUGAGCUUAUGUCAUGGCCUGCUUGUCCAUCAGCAUCUGUAAACGUCUUCUUGUCGGGAUCAACUCGACAAAUGAGGCCGACACUUCACAGGCUUGUUCCCACCAGUCUUGAUGCCUGAAUUUGCUCAAGAUUUUCAAUAUGGUCAUCACUACAGCUUUAUGAUAAAAACCUACUUAUAUCCACUGCUCAAAAUGUACUGUAAUGCUCUUAAAUUAUCUCAGAAUGCAUUUUUGGCUCUGUAAAGAUCUUCUAAUCGGAAGCUGGCACGUUCAAAUCAUUAGGAUUUUUGGGUCGGUUUUGGAGGGAAACAAUUGUAUGGCAUUAGAAAUAUAUUUCUCCUUAGAAGGUAUACAAAGCUCACUGUUGAGACUUUAUGUGAAGUAUAUUUAACUGUAGUACAUUAUUACUUUGCAAAAAUGUUAUACAAUGAUACAUUCAUUCCUUUAGGGAAUUAGAAAUAUUAUGAAAAUUUAUUUACUUGUUUCAUGUUUGUCUAUACAUGUAGAGUAUUUAUGUAGAAGAUAUUUGAAUAGCAGUUUUGACCGCAAUGUAUUUUUUAGAUGCAGUCCUUUUUUUGACAUUUUAAACUUUGACCUCAUAUCCUGGUGAGCUACAUUGCAGUGGCACUAUUUUAAUUUGUAUUUCACAUUUUUUAAGGAUGUGCCUAAGGGAUGAAAAGUUACACCCAAAUCACAAUAUAUUAACUGAUACUUAGUUAACAGUACGGGAAAUACCAGUAAACUAUUUCUGAGUGAACCUGCAAUUAUUUUCUAUUUCAUAUAGAAAAUACAAUAAUAAACAUCGUAGUGUUUUGUUCAGAUAACAGGACAGACGUAGCAACUGUCAAUUGAAGCAGCUAAAACAAGGAGUCAAUUCUCUUCCACUCUUCAGAUAAUGAAAUUUGACAGUCCCUGGAAUAUCAAGGUUACGGCGUCAUGUAGAAUAUUGAUGAAGUUGAAAUAAAUUGAUUUGAAUCUUGGUAUUGAAUGUCCAUUAAGGUACUCUAUUUACAUGACCUUUGAUUCCUGGAAAAAAUGCCUCAAAUGUUGUGUGCUCCAAGGGAUAAUAAACCAAGUGAUUGACCUCAAGUCAGCCCAUUUGUCUGAAUAGAGAAUCAAAAUAGAGCCUGAAACACCUUAGUCAGUUUAUUGACCUGUUGCCCAGUACCCUUAGUAGUCCUGUAAGGUUAUGUGCACUGUCCACAUUGUUCCACAUUGUGUACAGAGGUCACUGUCCUUGUUCCACAUUGUGUACAGAGGUCACUGUCCUUGUUCCACAUUGUGUACAGAGGUCACUGUCCUUGUUCCACAUUGUGUACUGAGGUCACUGUCCUUGUUCCACAUUGUGUACUGAGGUCACUGUCCUUGUUCCACAUUGUGUACAGAGGUCACUGUAUUUGUUCAUGCUUGAGGAUCAGCAACAAAUGUUAAUUAAUCCAGCAACAAUUCAGCUGGUUUGUUAUUUUUUGUGUCUUGGUACAUAAAGUGUCUCAUAGUUUGUUUUGCAUUUAAAACUUUGCAUUUUUAUCAAGACUGUGAUAGUUUUAUGUAGAAGUAGUGCUACGGUAGUGUUGUGUUCAUGUGAAUAUUUUAUCUGUUUAAGCAAUCUGUUAGACAAUCAAAAGAAGGUGCUUUUCAAUAUAAUUUGUUGAACACUGCAGGUUUUAUUUGUGACAAGAACUUUUCUUUCUGUCUGUGAAAUAGGACAUUCCAUCUCAAAAUACCAUUAAACCUCAGAAACUCCUGCAACUGGCAUAUUGUUUUAAGUCAGUUACCUUAUGGUCCAGUGGAAUGCUUAUUGGCACGAUGUUGUAAAAUUGGCACUCUCCUUGUCUUGAACUACAGUUAUCUCACAUGUUUGACGGUCCUUGGACAAAGACUAAACAGGUGUCAAUGUACAGGAAAUCAUUUGUCAUGACACCAUCAGCUACUAACCAGGGUUUUGAGAUCGACUCAUAGACAUGUUCAUUUUGAACCCUGCAGAUGGUUUUAUAACAUGGGUUUUCCCAUUUCAUUAUGAGAGCCACAUAUCACAAUGUGUGUAAUCAGCUCAGCUGACAACUCUUUUACCUUCAUCCCUAAGUGUUGCAGUUAUGAGGUUCAAUGUUAAUUUGCACAUAUUACUUUUGUUCCAAAUUUUAGACUUGUCCAGUGUUGUAACUGUGAAUAUUUACAGUUUGGUCUAUACUGUAGUCUGUUUUAUGCCUGGACACAUGACAGAUGGAAGUAAACAUCCUCAUGAUCAAAGUAGCUCCUUUUGUAUCUCAUGAUGUAUAUACAGUUGUAAAUAUGACAAUAAAACAUGAUACACA